RNAcentral lists this ribosomal RNA (441 nucleotides) under uncultured bacterium. RNAcentral's name for it is "partial 16S ribosomal RNA". It matches the Rfam family "Bacterial small subunit ribosomal RNA", at positions 338 to 795 of the family's 1533-position model. The record is from RNAcentral.
CCUACGGGCGGCAGCAGUGGGGGAUAUUGCACAAUGGGGGGAACCCUGAUGCAGCGACGCCGCGUGGGUGAAGGAGUAUUUCGGUAUGUAAAGCCCUAUCGGCAGGGAAGAAGCAAGACGGUACCUGACUAAGAAGCCCCGGCUAACUACGUGCCAGCAGCCGCGGUAAUACGUAGGGGGCGAGCGUUAUCCGGAUUCACGGGGUGUAAAGGGAGCGUAGACGGCCAUGCAAGCCAGGGGUGAAAGCCCGGGGCCCAACCCCGGGACUGCCCUUGGAACUGCAUGGCUGGAGUGCGGGAGGGGCAGGCGGAAUGCCUGGUGUAGCGGUGAAAUGCGUAGAUAUCAGGAGGAACACCGGCGGCGAAGGCGGCCUGCUGGACCGCGACUGACGUUGAGGCUCGAAAGCGUGGGGAGCGAACAGGAUUAGAUACCCCAGUAGUC